RNAcentral lists this ribosomal RNA (237 nucleotides) under uncultured bacterium. RNAcentral's name for it is "partial 16S ribosomal RNA". It matches the Rfam family "Bacterial small subunit ribosomal RNA", at positions 99 to 334 of the family's 1533-position model. The record is from RNAcentral.
CGAACGGGUGAGUAACGCGUGAGGAACCUGCCUCAAAGAGGGGGACAACAGUUGGAAACGACUGCUAAUACCGCAUAAGCCCACGGGUCGGCAUCGAUCUGAGGGAAAAGGAGUGAUCCGCUUUGAGAUGGCCUCGCGUCUGAUUAGCUAGUUGGUGAGGUAACGGCCCACCAAGGCGACGAUCGGUAGCCGGACUGAGAGGUUGAACGGCCACAUUGGGACUGAGACACGGCCCAG